CCAUCCUCCAAGGCUAAAUACUCCUGACUGACCGAUAGUGAACCAGUACCGUGAGGGAAAGGCGAAAAGAACCCCUGUGAGGGGAGUGAAAUAGAUCCUGAAACCGCAUGCAUACAAGCAGUGGGAGCACCUUCGUGGUGUGACUGCGUACCUUUUGUAUAAUGGGUCAGCGACUUAUAUUCAGUAGCGAGGUUAACCGCAUAGGGGAGCCGUAGAGAAAUCGAGUCUUAAUAGGGCGUAUAGUUGCUGGGUAUAGACCCGAAACCAGGCGAUCUAUCCAUGAGCAGGUUGAAGGUUGGGUAACACUAACUGGAGGACCGAACCCACUGUCGUUGAAAAGCCAGGGGAUGACUUGUGGAUAGGGGUGAAAGGCUAAUCAAGCCUGGUGAUAGCUGGUUCUCCCCGAAAGCUAUUUAGGUAGCGCCUCG
Molecule: ribosomal RNA, 428 nt
Filed under: Acinetobacter haemolyticus
Lineage: Bacteria; Pseudomonadati; Pseudomonadota; Gammaproteobacteria; Moraxellales; Moraxellaceae
Description: partial 23S ribosomal RNA
Rfam family: Bacterial large subunit ribosomal RNA
Source: RNAcentral